AUGCAUAGGCAAAAGCGGGAAUGUUUAGUUUCCCGCGGUCGAGUGCAGUUAUGGAUCCCUUCAAACUUCGAAGGGUUGAAUUGCUUCAUUCUCCUCCAGAUGAGUCAAGGGAAUGGUUUAUCUUAAAUUUCAAGAAAUGUGGCAUAAGAGUCAGCAAGUUUUUUGAAGUAGCCUGUUGGUGGCACAUUUUCCAAGCGUUUUGUACGGUCCAGCUUUAAAAAAUGGCGGAAGCUUGGAUGACCGAUAUGUUCAGAACAACAAAGUGGCCAUCGCCUCUCUAUUUGGAGUUGUUUCUACCAUCUUCCGGCAGAAAUUCGAAGAAGGAGAAGUGGUGAGAUAUCUUUGGUUGAUCGAUAAAAUAAAUUCUUGAUCCUGGAUCAAGAAAAGCUUGGCAAACGUUACUUAGCAUUUUCAAGCUAAGACGAACCGGGUUACUCUUGAUUACAAAACACUGAUAAUGCUGCUCAAGCAAAGAGCUGGUGAUGCCAAAAAAUAUAUCAAUGAACUUUGCAAGCAAGGAUUGGACACAGAGUGCUGUGUAUUCUGCAAAGUUAUUAAGGAAUGUGCCUCUCCUGAUGUUCCUUUUGGGGAAGCCUUUGCUGAGUGUUUCCUAAAGAGCAAAGCAAAUAUUGGGGGGUAGGUACAACUCUGCAUUUCUGCAUUGACAUGCAUAAAAAGUUCCAGCUUGCAGUAUGGUAUUUCACUUUCUAUUGGAAUACAUGUCUUUAAAUCUCACUUGGGAUACUUAGUUUGAUGGACAGUUGGCAUAC
Long non-coding RNA from Stylophora pistillata, 770 nucleotides. Lineage: Eukaryota; Metazoa; Cnidaria; Anthozoa; Scleractinia; Pocilloporidae. The record is from RefSeq and is a predicted model, not a curated record.